CCGACCGACGCCCCGGGACGCCCGUGGCCGAGGCCCGCGUGUGGGGCGCGACUUGAGCCGUCGGCCCCAGGCCUCGCUCCAGGCUGUGACCUGGCACAGCUGCCCUGCUCGCCGGCCGAGGCCACCAGGACCCAGGUGCGCAGACAGUGACUUUGGCUCCGCUGCUCUGAGAAGCGGUUGACGCCCAACAGGACAGCACGGGGGCUCCUGGGGGGGCUGUCCCUGGAUGUCGAGGUGGCUUGUCUUUACCCCCCAGAGAAGAAAGCCCUCUGGACUCUGUCUCCCAAAUUUCAGGCCACCAGGAGCUCUCUGUCCUCCGUUUUGGAAAGUCCUGGACCAGAUGACCUAACGACAGAUUCUGCAGAAGUCAAACCAUCUUCCUGUAUGAGGCAGCGAGGGCCCCGGGGACGGAGGCUGCACAGGAGCCCGCGGCGUCCCGUCGACCGUCUGAGCGACGCUGGAGCAGCGUGUCCUCCUCUCUGAGCCCCACGUGCCCAGAUCCGCUACAGGGUGAGCUGGCCGUGAGGACCAAGUGAGUUUAUGCCGGGAGAGAGUUGGGAAAAGUGUUGUUACUGUUCUAAAGGAAAGUAAAGGCGAUUGCAGCUCGAGCUGAGUAUUGGAUUUCUCUGGGGAUUCAAGAUUUCUUGAGUCUAAAAACAGUGGAGGGGUUGAUGAUUCUUGAGGACAUGAUGCUCAGUGAAAUAAGCCAGACGCAGAAGGACAGACACUGUGUGAUCCCACUUCUACGAGGUCCCUGGGGGAGUCAGGUUCACAGAGACAGGAA
Molecule: long non-coding RNA, 784 nt
Organism: Eubalaena glacialis (North Atlantic right whale)
Lineage: Eukaryota; Metazoa; Chordata; Mammalia; Artiodactyla; Balaenidae
Exons: 3
Source: RefSeq, a predicted model, not a curated record